AGAUUGAACGCUGGCGGCAUGCCUAACACAUGCAAGUCGAACGGGAGUAGCAAUACUCUAGUGGCGGACGGGUGAGGAAUACGUAGGAAUUUGCCCUUAAGUGGGGGAUAACCCGGGGAAACCCGGAUUAAUACCGCAUGACCUCGAAAGAGCAAAGUGGGGGAUCGCAAGACCUCACGCUUUUGGAGAAGCCUACGUCGGAUUAGCUAGUUGGUGAGGUAAUGGCUCACCAAGGCGACGAUCCGUAACUGGUCUGGGAGGAUGAUCAGUCACACCGGAACUGAGACACGGUCCGGACCCCUACGGGAGGCAGCAGUGGGGAAUAUUGGACAAGUGGGCGCAAGCCUGAUCCAGCAAUGCCGCGUGUGUGAAGAAGGCCGUUGGUUAGUAAGCACGUUUAAGUAGGAAGUAAAAACUAGACUACUAACAC
Molecule: ribosomal RNA, 430 nt
Filed under: uncultured soil bacterium
Lineage: Bacteria
Description: bacterial SSU rRNA
Rfam family: Bacterial small subunit ribosomal RNA
Source: RNAcentral